Molecule: microRNA precursor, 64 nt
Filed under: Petromyzon marinus (sea lamprey)
Lineage: Eukaryota; Metazoa; Chordata; Hyperoartia; Petromyzontiformes; Petromyzontidae
Description: Pma-Mir-132-o1_pre stem-loop
Rfam family: mir-132 microRNA precursor family
Source: RNAcentral
ACCGUGGCUUUAGAUUGUUACUGUUGCCAUGGCGAUCUCCAGUAACAGUCUACAGCCAUGGUUG